UACGUAGGCAGCGAGCGUUGUUCGGAGUUACUGGGCGUAAAGGGUGUGUAGGCGGUUGUUUAAGGUUGGUGUGAAAUCUCCCGGCUCAACUGGGAGGGUGCGCCGAAUACUGAGUGACUAGAGUGCGGGAGAGGAAAGUGGAAUUCCUGGUGUAGCGGUGAAAUGCGUAGAUAUCAGGAGGAACACCGGUGGUGUAGACGGCUUUCUGGACCGUAACUGACGCUGAGACACGAAAGCGUGGGUAGCAAACAGG
This 253-nucleotide ribosomal RNA is filed under the name uncultured bacterium. RNAcentral describes it as "partial 16S ribosomal RNA". It matches the Rfam family "Bacterial small subunit ribosomal RNA", at positions 524 to 776 of the family's 1533-position model. The record is from RNAcentral.